CGAUAGCGUAUAUUUAAGUUGUUGCAGUUAAAAAGCUCGUAGUUGGAUUUCGGAUGGGACUUGCCGGUCCGUCGUUUCGAUGUGCACUGGCCAGUCCUAUCUUGUUGUCGGGGACUAGCUCCUGGGCUUCACUGUCCGGGACUAGGAGCCGACGAGGUUACUUUGAGUAAAUUAGAGUGUUCAAAGCAAGCCUACGCUCUGAAUACAUUAGCAUGGAAUAACACGAUAGGACUCUGGCUUAUCUUGUUGGUCUGUGAGACCAGAGUAAUGAUUAAGAGGGACAGUCGGGGGCAUUCGUAUUUCAUUGUCAGAGGUGAAAUUCUUGGAUUUAUGAAAGACGAACUUCUGCGAAAGCAUUUGUCAAGGAUGUUUUCAUUAA
Molecule: ribosomal RNA, 379 nt
Filed under: uncultured eukaryote
Lineage: Eukaryota
Description: partial 18S ribosomal RNA
Rfam family: Eukaryotic small subunit ribosomal RNA
Source: RNAcentral